RNAcentral lists this ribosomal RNA (579 nucleotides) under uncultured fungus. RNAcentral describes it as "eukaryotic LSU rRNA". It matches the Rfam family "Eukaryotic large subunit ribosomal RNA", at positions 57 to 650 of the family's 3401-position model. Lineage: Eukaryota; Fungi. The record is from RNAcentral.
AAAAGAAACCAACAGGGAUUACCUCAGUAACGGCGAGUGAAGCGGUAACAGCUCAAAUUUGAAAUCUGGCUCUUUCAGGGUCCGAGUUGUAAUUUGUAGAAGAUGCUUUGGGUGUGGCUCCGGUCUAAGUUCCUUGGAACAGGACGUCAUAGAGGGUGAGAAUCCCGUAUGUGACUGGGUGCUUUCGCUCGUGUAAAGCUCUUUCGACGAGUCGAGUUGUUUGGGAAUGCAGCUCAAAAUGGGUGGUAAAUUUCAUCUAAAGCUAAAUAUUGGCCAGAGACCGAUAGCGCACAAGUAGAGUGAUCGAAAGAUGAAAAGCACUUUGGAAAGAGAGUUAAACAGUACGUGAAAUUGUUGAAAGGGAAGCGCUUGCAAUCAGACUCGCAUGCCGCUGAUCAUCCGGGGUUCUCCCCGGUGCACUCGGCGGUCUACGGGCCAGCAUCGGUUUGGGUGGUGGGAUAAAGGCCUUGGGAAUGUAGCUCCUCUCGGGGAGUGUUAUAGCCCUCGGCGCAAUGCCGCCUACCCGGACCGAGGACCGCGCUUCGGCUAGGAUGCUGGCGUAAUGGUUGUAAGCGACCC